This 108-nucleotide small RNA is filed under the name Marmota monax (woodchuck). Lineage: Eukaryota; Metazoa; Chordata; Mammalia; Rodentia; Sciuridae. The record is from RNAcentral.
GCCGGGUGAGGUGGCGCACACCUGAAUCCCAGUGACAACGGGAGGCUGAGGCAGGAGGAUAGCAAGUUCCAAGGACUUCCUCAGAAAUUUAGCAAGGCCCUGUCUCAA